UGGGGUUUUGGCUUAGAGGAAGAGUGCUUGCCUAGCAUGCAUGAGGCACUGGGUUUGAUCCUCAGCACCACAU
This 73-nucleotide transfer RNA is filed under the name Marmota monax (woodchuck). Its description in RNAcentral is "tRNA.Ala". Lineage: Eukaryota; Metazoa; Chordata; Mammalia; Rodentia; Sciuridae. The record is from RNAcentral.